AACGCGAAGAACCUUACCUACCCUUGACAUGUCUGGAAUCCCGAAGAGAUUUGGGAGUGCUCGCAAGAGAACCGGAACACAGGUGCUGCAUGGCUGUCGUCAGCUCGUGUCGUGAGAUGUUGGGUUAAGUCCCGCAACGAGCGCAACCCUUGUCUUUAGUUGCCAGCAGCUUGGCUGGGCACUCUAGAGAGACUGCCGAGGAUAACUCGGAGGAAGGUGGGGAUGACGUCAAAUCAUCAUGCCCCUUAUGCUUAGGGCUACACACGUGCUACAAUGGCUGUUACAAAGGGUUGCCAAGCCGCGAGGCGGAGCUAAUCCCAUAAAGACAGUCUAAGUUCGGAUUGCAGGCUGAAACUCGCCUGCAUGAAGCUGGAGUUACUAGUAAUCGCAGAUCAGAAUGCUGCGGUGAAUGCGUUCCCGGGUCUUGUACACACCG
Molecule: ribosomal RNA, 436 nt
Filed under: uncultured bacterium
Lineage: Bacteria
Description: bacterial SSU rRNA
Rfam family: Bacterial small subunit ribosomal RNA
Source: RNAcentral